This 181-nucleotide ribosomal RNA is filed under the name uncultured Thauera sp. RNAcentral describes it as "partial 16S ribosomal RNA". It matches the Rfam family "Bacterial small subunit ribosomal RNA", at positions 1202 to 1382 of the family's 1533-position model. Lineage: Bacteria; Pseudomonadati; Pseudomonadota; Betaproteobacteria; Rhodocyclales; Zoogloeaceae. The record is from RNAcentral.
UUAUGGUAGGGCUUCACACGUCAUACAAUGGUCGGUACGAGAGGGUUGCCAAGCCGCGAGGUGGGGCCAAUCCCUUAAAGCCGAUCGUAGUCCGGAUCGUAGUCUGCAACUCGACUACGUGAAGUCGGAAUCGCUAGUAAUCGCAGAUCAGCAUGCUGCGGUGAAUACGUUCCCGGGUCUU